Molecule: ribosomal RNA, 253 nt
Filed under: uncultured bacterium
Lineage: Bacteria
Description: partial 16S ribosomal RNA
Rfam family: Bacterial small subunit ribosomal RNA
Source: RNAcentral
UACGGAGGGUGCGAGCGUUGUCCGGAAUCACUGGGCGUAAAGGGCGCGUAGGCGGCCUGAUAAGUAGGGGGUAAAAUCUUGCGGCUUAACCGCAAGGCUGCCUUCUAAACUGUCAGGCUAGAGCACAGUAGAGGCAGGUGGAAUUCCCGGUGUAGCGGUGGAAUGCGUAGAGAUCGGGAAGAACAUCAGUGGCGAAGGCGGCCUGCUGGGCUGUUGCUGACGCUGAGGCGCGACAGCGUGGGGAGCAAACAGG